GUGGGGAAUCUUGCGCAAUGGGCGAAAGCCUGACGCAGCCAUGCCGCGUGAAUGAUGAAGGUCUUAGGAUUGUAAAAUUCUUUCACCGGGGACGAUAAUGACGGUACCCGGAGAAGAAGCCCCGGCUAACUUCGUGCCAGCAGCCGCGGUAAUACGAAGGGGGCUAGCGUUGCUCGGAAUUACUGGGCGUAAAGGGCGCGUAGGCGGACAGUUUAGUCAGAGGUGAAAGCCCAGGGCUCAACCUUGGAAUUGCAUUUGAUACUGGCUGUCUUGAGUACGGGAGAGGUGAGUGGAACUCCGAGUGUAGAGGUGAAAUUCGUAGAUAUUCGGAAGAACACCAGUGGCGAAGGCGACUCACUGGCCCGUUACUGACGCUGAGGCGCGAAAGCGUGGGGAGCAAACAGGAUUAGAAACCCCAGUAGUCC
RNAcentral lists this ribosomal RNA (425 nucleotides) under uncultured bacterium. RNAcentral's name for it is "partial 16S ribosomal RNA". It matches the Rfam family "Bacterial small subunit ribosomal RNA", at positions 354 to 796 of the family's 1533-position model. The record is from RNAcentral.